AGAGUUUGAUCCUGGCUCAGAAUCAACGCUGGCGGCGUGCCUAACACAUGCAAGUCGAACGAGAAAGUGGAGCAAUCCAUGAGUAAAGUGGCGCACGGGUGAGUAACACGUGACUAACCUACCCUUGAGUGGGGGAUAACCUAGGGAAACCUGGGCUAAUACCGCAUAAUACCUUCGGGUCAAAGGAGCAAUUCGCUUAAGGAGGGGGUCGCGGCCGAUUAGUUAGUUGGCGGGGUAAUGGCCCACCAAGACUGUGAUCGGUAUCCGGCCUGAGAGGGCGCACGGACACACUGGAACUGAAACACGGUCCAGACUCCUACGGGAGGCAGCAGUGGGGAAUUUUGCGCAAUGGGGGAAACCCUGACGCAGCAACGCCGCGUGGAGGAUGAAGCCCCUUGGGGCGUAAACUCCUUUCGAUCGGGACG
This 425-nucleotide ribosomal RNA is filed under the name uncultured bacterium. Its description in RNAcentral is "bacterial SSU rRNA". It matches the Rfam family "Bacterial small subunit ribosomal RNA", at positions 8 to 447 of the family's 1533-position model. The record is from RNAcentral.